UCCUGGGUGGCUCAGAUGGUAAAGCAUCUGCCUACAAUGCAGGAGACCCGGGUUUGAUCCCUGGGUCAGGAA
Molecule: transfer RNA, 72 nt
Filed under: Ovis aries (sheep)
Lineage: Eukaryota; Metazoa; Chordata; Mammalia; Artiodactyla; Bovidae
Rfam family: tRNA
About the family: Transfer RNA (tRNA) molecules are approximately 80 nucleotides in length. Their secondary structure includes four short double-helical elements and three loops (D, anti-codon, and T loops). Further hydrogen bonds mediate the characteristic L-shaped molecular structure. tRNAs have two regions of fundamental functional importance: the anti-codon, which is responsible for specific mRNA codon recognition, and the 3' end, to which the tRNAs corresponding amino acid is attached (by aminoacyl-tRNA synthetases). tRNAs cope with the degeneracy of the genetic code in two manners: having more than one tRNA (with a specific anti-codon) for a particular amino acid; and 'wobble' base-pairing, i.e. permitting non-standard base-pairing at the 3rd anti-codon position.
Source: Rfam by way of RNAcentral